UGACAUUAUCCAUACCAUUUAAUCGUUUGCCUGUUGGUAUUUUUGCUUUGAUUGGUUACAGAUUCCGAAACAAACCAAUUUUGAAUUGAUUAUCGAUAAUCGAAGAAAAAAACAUAUAUACUUUUUUUUCGGUGAUUGCCCGAAGCGAAACUUGAUGUAAUAAAAUCGGGAAGCAAGAAGCAGAAGACAUAACGGAAAAAAAAGAUCAAUAGACCCAUCGAUGUC
This is a long non-coding RNA of Dermatophagoides pteronyssinus (European house dust mite), 225 nucleotides long. The record is from RefSeq and is a predicted model, not a curated record. NCBI's taxonomy places the organism in Eukaryota, Metazoa, Arthropoda, Arachnida, Sarcoptiformes, Pyroglyphidae.